UCACCGUAAAACUACAACCCUUUGUUGCCUGUCACUCAGCCACUGCCUUGUUGAAUGGGUAAGGCAGUGGCUGAGUGACAGGCAACAGAGGGUUGUAGUCAAU
Non-coding RNA from Pelobates cultripes (western spadefoot toad), 103 nucleotides. The record is from the annotation of a GenBank genome assembly. NCBI's taxonomy places the organism in Eukaryota, Metazoa, Chordata, Amphibia, Anura, Pelobatidae.